This 29-nucleotide non-coding RNA is filed under the name Mus musculus (house mouse). Lineage: Eukaryota; Metazoa; Chordata; Mammalia; Rodentia; Muridae. The record is from RNAcentral.
CUCCUUAGAGUUGAUGUGACAUCUUCCUU